GACGAACGCUGGCGGCGUGCCUAAUACAUGCAAGUCGAACGCUUCUUUCCUCCCGAGUGCUUGCACUCAAUUGGAAAGAGGAGUGGCGGACGGGUGAGUAACACGUGGGUAACCUACCCAUCAGAGGGGGAUAACACUUGGAAACAGGUGCUAAUACCGCAUAACAGUUUAUGCCGCAUGGCAUAAGAGUGAAAGGCGCUUUCGGGUGUCGCUGAUGGAUGGACCCGCGGUGCAUUAGCUAGUUGGUGAGGUAACGGCUCACCAAGGCCACGAUGCAUAGCCGACCUGAGAGGGUGAUCGGCCACACUGGGACUGAGACACGGCCCAGACUCCUACGGGAGGCAGCAGUAGGGAAUCUUCGGCAAUGGACGAAAGUCUGACCGAGCAACGCCGCGUGAGUGAAGAAGGUUUUCGGAUCGUAAAACUCUGUUGUUAGAGAAGAACAAGGACGUUAGUAACUGAGCGUCCCCUGACGGUAUCUAACCAGAAAGCCACGGCUAACGACGUG
This 508-nucleotide ribosomal RNA is filed under the name uncultured bacterium. Its description in RNAcentral is "partial 16S ribosomal RNA". It matches the Rfam family "Bacterial small subunit ribosomal RNA", at positions 28 to 507 of the family's 1533-position model. The record is from RNAcentral.